UACAUACUCGCUCAGUGGUAGAGCACUUUCCUUGGAAGAAAGCCUUCGUAGGUUCAAAUCCUACGUAUGUGA
This 72-nucleotide transfer RNA is filed under the name Scytolyngbya sp. HA4215-MV1. RNAcentral's name for it is "tRNA-Pro". It matches the Rfam family "tRNA". Rfam says of the family: Transfer RNA (tRNA) molecules are approximately 80 nucleotides in length. Their secondary structure includes four short double-helical elements and three loops (D, anti-codon, and T loops). The record is from RNAcentral. Lineage: Bacteria; Bacillati; Cyanobacteriota; Cyanophyceae; Leptolyngbyales; Leptolyngbyaceae. RNAcentral also lists the same sequence under 1 other name.